Molecule: long non-coding RNA, 3913 nt
Filed under: Homo sapiens (human)
Lineage: Eukaryota; Metazoa; Chordata; Mammalia; Primates; Hominidae
Description: HSALNT0174014
Source: RNAcentral
CUGCUGCCAUGUGAGAAGGUCCAAGCUUACUUUCCCUUUGCCUUCCAACAUGAUGGUCCUGCUGAGGAUCCCUGGUGCCCAGUAGGGAACACCGUGAGGAGGAGGAUUAAGAAAGGCACCCUUUCCACUGAUUUGCAUCGCCAUUUGUACAUGGAGUUUGGCUACAGCAAAAUCCGUUGCUAUCUCACCAGCUACAAGAAGCAAAGAACGAAUUGCAAUUCAUUUUUGUGCUCUAGGACCCGGUUGAGGAACACACCCUUCAAAGUGCUAAUGCUGUUCCAGCUCAGCAGACACCUCGUCUCGGGAAAGCCAUUAGAAACCCCCAAAAUACUACAUUUUUCUCCUGAGCUUUGAACCCUGAACCCAGCAUUCUGAGAGUGGGAACCAGAAAUGUGCAUUUGAAAAGACUCCCCAGGCAAUUCUGAUGAGGAGCCAGUGAGCCUGCUGAACCAGGUGACUACUGACAUCUCUUCUUUGAGUGACUUUCGACCAUCCCACAAAUGUCUGCUCGACGGUGUCCUGGAAGAGCUGGGUCAUGGCUCUCAUUACACACUACUCAGCAUCAUACACCAGGUUGUAUCACACAUCUCAUUCACACUACUGAGCAUCAUACACCAGGCUGUAUCACACUUUGUCCGGACUUCAUGAGUCUUCCAGUACAGUGAUGGGACGUAGGUUUUCUAGACUUGCCUAUGGGCUUCUCCUCUUUCCUAAUGAAGCUUCCACUCAUCCAAACGUCCUUUGAGGAGGAAAUUUAUCCAACUCACUCCACUGCAAAAGCUGGAGAACUGACAAGAUUCUUCCUGACCACUUCAGUGGCUAUGAUUAUAGGCAGUAUUGUGGUUUUCAUUUGCAAAAUGAGGAAUAAAGCUGCAGACAUUUCCAGUACUAGAAAUGGUCUGUUUGUAGCAUGAAGGUGCAUAUUCAUUUCUUUUUCUUUUUUCCUGACCCUUAAUCAUUUAUUACAUUUUUCUCCUGUUAAACAAGCUAUAUAGGCUGAAUACAAAGAAGUUUGAAAACACAGAAAGGUAAAAAAAUUAAAUUAAAUUAAGAUCAUCUGAAAUGUUAACUUCAAGAGAAAGUUAACAACUGUGAGCAUUCUGGUUUGUAUAUUCUUGCAGUCUUAUUUAAUUAAUUGCAUUUAUGUACUUUAAAAAAAGUAGAAUUAUAUUGUAUAUAUGGCUUUGAUUUCUUAAAAAUUAACAUUGUGAACAUGUGCAAGGAGUGUUUCUUAAAUUGCUCUUUCCAUUGUCACUUUUACUGGAGAUUAAAGUCUCAAAGUACAUUUUUUGACUUAGCAGAGGGAGAGCUGAGAUGUCUCAUUAAAGCUUGGCCGAGCGCCUUCUGUUACUGCUUAUUUACAUAAGUAGCUUUCCUAAAAUCAACGGCUCCCAUGAACAAGACAUAUAUAUUAAUGCCUCACAGUCCAAUAUAUGAUGAGAUAAAUGACCACUGCUUCCUUAUAUAAUGCGCACACACUUGCCUGAGACAAGUCAGCUGUUCUGAAACACAAGAUUAGGAAAUUCAAUUUCAUGUAUACAUUUCCAUGAAUCAAAAGUCAAAAUCAAAGGACAACCUUCUGUGUUACAGUGAACUCUGGAAGUAAGUGUAAAUAAGAUAAUAAGAUAUGCCCUACUUUGUUGUCAUCUUUUUUUUUUUUUUUGCUUUUUGUUUUUUGUUUGUUUUGAGAUGGAGUCUCACUCCGUCACCCAGGCUGGAGUGAAGUGGUGCAAUCUCGGCCCACUGCAACCUCCACCUCCUGGGUUCAAGCAAUUCUCAUGCCUCAGCCUCCCAAGUAGCUGUGAUUACAGGCGUGUGCCACCACGCCUAGCUAAUUUUUUGUAUUUUUACUAGAGACAGGGUUUCACCAUGUUGGCCAGGCUGGUCUUGAACUCUUAACCUCAGGUGAUCUGCCUGCUUCAGCCUCCCAAAGUGCUGAGAUUACAGGUGUGAGCCACUACACCUGGCCAGCUAUGCCCCACUUUGAACAAACAUUGCUAGAAUCUGGAAGAAUCUUCUGUUAGCCAAGGAUUGCUUUUGAGGUUCACUCCAAAAACUGAGCUACCACCGGGGACAAAUGGUCUCAUAAUUUUGAGUGUGUAAAGUGCAGCGAUUCCAGCUCAUGAGCACUAAUAUAAUUUUGGAAACAAUAUACCCACAACAGGCAUCGUCUAGAAAACUAACAGGAUCUCUUUUCCACUAGAGUGUAUUGUUGUUGACUAAGUGUUUUCAGUUAUUAAGCUGGAAGAGACAUGCUGGGGAGAAUGCUUUGGAGGAACAAGUAAGCACAGAACACAGAGAAUCAGGAAUGAAGCAUCCACACAGUCCAUCCAAGCAUACUGUGAAUCAAAACACAUGUCAUAGCUGGAACGAAAGCAUUAGGACCAUCUAACUGGAUUCCACUGGAAUGAGUCUCUGUGAAACCAUGCCGAAGUCUUUGUAAACAACCACCCUAAAGAAAGCUACAUGAAGAAUAGCCAAUAACAAAAGCACUGGAUUUAACUCAAUUUUGUGAAAAAACAAAAAAAACAAAUAUGAUGCACACACUCUAUCCUUUUGUGAACAAAAUGCCACCAAACAUUUGAAACUGGCCUAAGCAUACAUUGACAUGUUUGACAUGAAGCCCAGCCUUAUUGAUCAGCCUUUCCAAUACCCCCCGCCCCCCAUUCUUUAUUCCCAAUAGAUACAUCUUCUCACAGGUAAUUGGGCAGAAAAAUGCUUAUUGACUGAUCUUGAAAACUUCAAUGCAUCUAAAGCUGGAGAACAUUCAAAAACCAUGCUUCUCUUUAUUUAUUUCAGUUUCCAUGGCAAGAGGAAAAUAAAAGGCAACUGUUUUGAAAGCAACAACAGUAAACGAAGCAACAUCUCUGGCAAGCAGGCAAACCUUAAAGAGUAAAAGUUAUAAAUCCCCAUGUAGACAAUACCUUGUAGGUAUACCUUCCCCCAACCACGGGGAUGACUCUUAAUGGUGCUGACUAGGUAUAGACACCAACUUGGGACCAGUAAGUUAUUCUUAGAAGGUGCUAACUUUUGUAUUUUCUUUUAGGUUCUUGCUGCUAUGUUUCUCUUUCAAUUGACUUCCAGAAAUCAGACAGUGAAAUCAAUGGGGCUUUCCAGGCCACUGAAUUCAAAGUAAUCAGGGCAGGGUCAGAAUGCUGAUUGACUGUUUUCAACACACAGGGACCUGGAAUUUGGGUUCUAGCUCUAUCCCUCAGCACAGAGUCAGCAGACACAAUGCCCUAGAUGGUUGGAUUUUCUAGUGUCUGUGACAGGCAUCUUCAAAGCUGAUUCCUCUCCCUCUGAGAAAUCAAGGCCACCACCUUUAACUACUGACACAGUAGUGUACUUCCCGUACUGCAACCUCAGUCCCUUUUGUCACUUUUGCUUUGCAUUCAAGUGCCUUGGCCAGUGUUAACUGCAGCACUUUGAUUUCUCUUUCUAUAAAGACUAUCAAGUACCAAGUCAUUUGUUUCUGCAACCAUGUAACCCAAGGACAUAUUCUCCUGGAUGAAAUUCCAAGACCCCCCCCGCCACCAGAAGUCAGUGGAGAAUAGGCACAGAAAAGAUGAUGAAGGUCAUAGUUUCUAAUAAUUUGUUUUCUUUUUAAAAAAAAUUUUUAAUUUUUAUUUUUUUGAGACAGAAUCUCACUCCGUCACCCAGGCUGGGGUAUGGUGGCAUGAUCUCGGCUCACAGCAACCUCUGCCUUCCAGGUUUAAGUGAUUCUCCUGCCUCAGCCUCCUGAGUAGCUGGGAUUACAGCCGCAUGCCACCACGCCCAGCUAAUCGUUUGUAUUUUUAGUAGACACGGGGUUUCACCAUGUUGGCCAGACUGGUCUCGAACUCCUGACCUCAAGCGAUCUACCUGCCUUGGCCUUCCAGAGUGCUGGGAUUACAGGCAUGAGCCACCAAGCCCA